GAUGAAGAACGCAGCGAAAUGCGAUACGUAAUGUGAAUUGCAGAAUUCAGUGAAUCAUCGAAUCUUUGAACGCACAUUGCACUCUCUGGUAUUCCGGAGAGUAUACUUGUUUGAGUAUCUGUAAACAUCUCAAAUCUCUCUUCAAUUGCUUCAAUUGGGUCGAGAGAAUUGGAUUUGAGCGAUCCCGACUCCUUCGUCAGAAAGAGGAGGGUCGCUUGAAAUGCAGGUGCAGCUGGACAUUCUUCUGAGCAAAAAGCAUAUCUAUUUAGUCCCGUCAAACGGAUUAUUACUUUUGCUUCAGCUAAUAUAAAGGUUGAAUGAACUACCAACGCUGAUUGCAGGAAAACAUGUUCGUUUAUUCGGACUUGUAAACUCGAUCUCAAAUCAAGUAAGACUACCCGCUGAACUUAAGCAUAUCAAUAAGCGGAGGA
This 431-nucleotide unclassified non-coding RNA is filed under the name soil metagenome. Its description in RNAcentral is "partial contains 5.8S ribosomal RNA, internal transcribed spacer 2, and large subunit ribosomal RNA". The stretch from base 1 to 120 matches the Rfam family "5.8S ribosomal RNA", at positions 35 to 154 of the family's 154-position model. The record is from RNAcentral.